RNAcentral lists this ribosomal RNA (483 nucleotides) under uncultured bacterium. Its description in RNAcentral is "partial 16S ribosomal RNA". It matches the Rfam family "Bacterial small subunit ribosomal RNA", at positions 30 to 507 of the family's 1533-position model. The record is from RNAcentral.
AUUGAACGCUGGCGGCAGGCCUAACACAUGCAAGUCGAGCGGAUGAAGGGAUCUUGCUCCUGGAUUCAGCGGCGACGGGUGGUUAAUGCCCAGGACUUUGCCUGGGGGGGGGGGUUAACCUCCGGAAACUGGCCUUAAUCCCCCCUUCGUCCUUGGGUGAAAACGGGGGGCCCUUCCGACCUCACUCUCUUCGCUCCUCCUAGGUCGGAUUAGCUAGUUGGUGGGGUAAAGGCCUACCAAGGCGACGAUCCGUAACUGGUCUGAGAGGAUGAUCAGUCACACUGGAACUGAGACACGGUCCAGACUCCUACGGGAGGCAGCAGUGGGGAAUAUUGGACAAUGGGCGAAAGCCUGAUCCAGCCAUGCCGCGUGUGUGAAGAAGGUCUUCGGAUUGUAAAGCACUUUAAGUUGGGAGGAAGGGCAGUAAGUUAAUACCUUGCUGUUUUGACGUUACCAACAGAAUAAGCACCGGCUAACUUCGUG